This 439-nucleotide ribosomal RNA is filed under the name uncultured bacterium. RNAcentral's name for it is "partial 16S ribosomal RNA". It matches the Rfam family "Bacterial small subunit ribosomal RNA", at positions 339 to 795 of the family's 1533-position model. The record is from RNAcentral.
CUACGGGGGGCAGCAGUGAGGAAUAUUGCGCAAUGGGGGAAACCCUGACGCAGCGACGCCGCGUGGAUGAUGACGCAUUUCGGUGUGUAAACUCCUUUUAUAUGUCAAGAAAAUGACGGUAGCAUAUGAAUAAGCACCGGCUAACUCCGUGCCAGCAGCCGCGGUAAUACGGAGGGUGCAAGCGUUACUCGGAAUCACUGGGCGUAAAGGACGCGUAGGCGGGUUGGAAAGUCAGGUGUGAAAUCCUACAGCUUAACUGUAGAACUGCACUUGAAACUUCUAAUCUAGAGUAUGGGAGGGGGAGAUGGAAUUAGUGGUGUAGGGGUAAAAUCCGUAGAUAUCACUAGGAAUACCUAAAGCGAAGGCGAUCUCCUGGAACAUUACUGACGCUAAGGCGUGAAAGCGUGGGGAGCAAACAGGAUUAGAUACCCUCGUAGUC